CCCUUAGAUGUUCUGGGCUGCACGCGCGCUACACUGAUGCACUCAUCGAGUUUAUGACCUUGCCCGAUAGGGUUGGGUAAUCUUCUUAAAAUGCAUCGUGAUGGGGAUAGAUUAUUGCAAUUAUUAAUCUUCAACGAGGAAUUCCUAGUAAGCGCGAGUCAUCAGCUCGUGCUGAUUACGUCCCUGCCCUUUGUACACACCGCCCGUCGCACCUACCGAUUGAAUGACUCGGUGAAAAAUUGGGACUGUGAUUGAAAUUGCUUCAUUGCGAAUUUAAUUAUGGAAACUUUCUUUAACCUAGGCAUUUAGAGGAAGGUGAAGUCGUAACA
Molecule: ribosomal RNA, 329 nt
Filed under: uncultured eukaryote
Lineage: Eukaryota
Description: partial 18S ribosomal RNA
Rfam family: Eukaryotic small subunit ribosomal RNA
Source: RNAcentral